CCUGAACGCUGGCGGCGUGGCUAAGACAUGCAAGUCGCACGGUGUAGCAAUACACAGUGGCGAACGGGUGAGUAAUGAAUCGCUAAUGUACCCCGGACUCUGGGAUAGCUAGCCGAAAGGUUAGGUAAUACCAGAUGAUAUAACCGAACCGCAUGGUUCGGUUCUCAAAGGUCCGCCGGUCUGGGAGCAGGCGAUUUCGUAUCAGCUAGUUGGUGAGGUAACGGCNCACCAAGGCUUUGACGCGUAGCCGGACUGAGAGGUUGGCCGGCACAUUGGGACUGAGACACUGCCCAGACUCCUACGGGGGCUGCAGUAACGAAUCUUCCGCAAUGCACGCAAGUGUGACGGAGCGACGCCGCGUGUAGGAUGAAG
This 372-nucleotide ribosomal RNA is filed under the name uncultured bacterium. Its description in RNAcentral is "bacterial SSU rRNA". It matches the Rfam family "Bacterial small subunit ribosomal RNA", at positions 30 to 413 of the family's 1533-position model. The record is from RNAcentral.